This 164-nucleotide ribosomal RNA is filed under the name uncultured bacterium. RNAcentral's name for it is "partial 16S rRNA". It matches the Rfam family "Bacterial small subunit ribosomal RNA", at positions 355 to 511 of the family's 1533-position model. The record is from RNAcentral.
UAGGGAAUCUUCCACAAUGGGCGAAAGCCUGAUGGAGCAACGCCGCGUGUGUGAUGAAGGGUUUCGGCUCGUAAAACUCUGUUGUUAGAGAAGAACACGAGUGAGAGUAACUGUUCAUUCGAUGACGGUAUCUAACCAGCAAGUCACGGCUAACUACGUGUCAG